This 357-nucleotide ribosomal RNA is filed under the name Triticum aestivum (bread wheat). RNAcentral's name for it is "partial small subunit ribosomal RNA". The record is from RNAcentral. Lineage: Eukaryota; Viridiplantae; Streptophyta; Magnoliopsida; Poales; Poaceae.
AUGCCCUCAUUUGUCUGGAUUUGGAGGCCCGACGCAGCUCUCUGUCUCUCUCGAUCCCUCUCCUCCACCCCGCCGCCACCCACCCUAUCCUCCACCCCGCCCCGUCCCGUCCCGGUCCCGGUCCAUCUCCGCCCCGUACUGUCCCUCUCCGGCAAGGUCGCAAGGACACUCCGACGUCUUGGUUACCUGUCCCUCUCGCCACCGGUAAGGCUUCUCCUCUCGCUCCCUUCCCCACCUCUCUUCUCCCCCCUCCCUCUCUCUGAUGCGUUUUUCUUCUUGAACCCUAACCCUAACCUGAACCCACCUGUUCAGCAGGACGCCUCACUCCAGCCACCCGAUCUGGGCAGCCCACGGUAG